RNAcentral lists this ribosomal RNA (862 nucleotides) under uncultured Chloroflexota bacterium. RNAcentral describes it as "bacterial SSU rRNA". It matches the Rfam family "Bacterial small subunit ribosomal RNA", at positions 122 to 1000 of the family's 1533-position model. Lineage: Bacteria; Bacillati; Chloroflexota. The record is from RNAcentral.
UGACCUGCCUUGAAGUGGGGGAUAACCACUGGAAACGGUGGCUAAUACCGCAUGACUUAUCUUGGAUGGGAAUUUAGGAUAAGAAAGUUUCGGCGCUAUGAGAGGGGCCUACGGCCGAUUAGCUAGUUGGUGAGGUAACGGCUCACCAAGGCGAUGAUCGGUAGCUGGUCUGAGAGGACGAUCAGCCACACGGGAACUGAGACACGGUCCCGACUCCUACGGGGGGCAGCAGUGAGGAAUAUUCGGCAAUGGGGGGAACCCUGACCGAGCAACGCCGCGUGGAGGAUGACGGUUUUUGGAUUGUAAACUCCUUUUCUCAGGGAAGAGUGAGGACGGUACCUGAGGAAUAAGUCACGGCUAACUACGUGCCAGCAGCCGCGGUAAUACGUAGGUGGCAAGCGUUAUCCGGAAUUACUGGGCGUAAAGCGCACGCAGGUGGCUUGCUAAGACUGACGUGAAAGCUCCUGGCUUAACUGGGAGAGGUCGUUGGAGACUGGCAGGCUUGAGGCGAGGAGAGGGGUGUAGAAUUCCCGGUGUAGUGGUGGAAUGCGUAGAGAUCGGGAGGAAUACCAGUGGCGAAAGCGGCACCCUGGCCUUGGCCUGACGCUCAGGUGCGAAAGCGUGGGGAGCGAACGGGAUUAGAUACCCCGGUAGUCCACGCGGUAAACGAUGAAUACUAGGUGUAGGUGGUGUCAAAACUAUCUGUACCGCAGCCAACGCGAUAAGUAUUCCGCCUGGGGAGUACGACCGCAAGGUUAAAACUCAAAGGAAUUGACGGGGGCCCGCACAAGCAGCGGAGCGUGUGGUUUAAUUCGAUGCAACGCGAAGAACCUUACCUAGGUUUGACGUAGCCGUAGUAGUG